This is a long non-coding RNA of Triticum urartu, 2051 nucleotides long. RefSeq lists it as uncharacterized. NCBI's taxonomy places the organism in Eukaryota, Viridiplantae, Streptophyta, Magnoliopsida, Poales, Poaceae. The record is from RefSeq and is a predicted model, not a curated record.
AAACUUAUCCUAGAGUGUGUACAUCUCUUCUCCCAUUUCUCUUGUCCACCGCGGAGGAGGAAACAGAUCGAGCCUGCCCUCGCGUGACCGGAGUGGCCAUGCCUAAUCGAGUCGGUAGCCCGUGCAUGGCCAAUGAUAGGAAGGGGAUCCUCCAGGUCUGACUCCAACCACGGUUGUAUCGCCGCCCACCAGCCAGGGCGCAUCUCACCGUCGCCGAGCUGGAAAGGCGGAGGGUGGUCGCCGGCGAGGCCACUGGUGCCGGUACAGAUAGGUGAUUUUCUUCCUAUUUUAAUUCCUUGGGGUGGUGGAUUUGAUCCUUGGGAGACGCAUGUGGCUGGAUGAGUGCGUGGAUCAAACUUUCACUGCUUGAGGCUCGUUGCAGUGGCCGAGGUUCUGGAUGUUGGUUUCUGCUGGCCGCUGCUUAGUUGCUACCCUCAUUCUUUGUGUUGUCAGACUCCUACCAUUAGUGGUGCCUAUGACAUUGAAGAUUUGUUUGUUUUUGUUAAAGUAUCAUUCAAGUACAACAUCUGAAGCCUAUCAUCAUGCACAACUUACUGCAUAGUUUCAUGUGACGAAGAUGAAUCAAAACAUAAGACUUGUUCCACAUAUUUGAUCUAUAAUCGCUGGGUUUCCUGAGAUCAAUUAGUGGUGAGGGAUUUCACGGAGCAUGGACCACCAGUUGGUGAAUUUCUGGGACGAAAUCACUUUACUGGGUCCAAGCUUGUUGGUGGAAGGGCAUCAAUUCCAGGGCAGCAUAUGUCACAAAGUAGUGGUUGGCCAAGGUAGGCUAAUGGAGAACAGUUGCAUUUGAAGCACAUGGCAGAGGGUGGAACCGCGGCUAUGGUCCAUGAGAGGUAUGGGGUAACGGCGGCAUAUUCGUAUAAGGAGAUCACGGGGCAAAUAAUGUAGCAGCAAGAUGAGCAGCGCAUGAGGGCGGCCACUGUUGUUACCCUCCUCAUUGUUGUUGCUGCCGGAAUCCUAUCAAAUAAGCCACGAAAUUGAGGUAUGUAGAAGAUGAACAAACCUGAGAACUGAUGAUCCAAUGAAGAGUCGAAGCUUAAGAAUCACAUAGCCGUCAGCUAUGGUGGCUUGUGGGCGGAUGUGUCUCAGACCUAAGUUGUUGCCGCUGGACCGUGGUUACAUUCAUCCUAGCUUGGAGGAAACGGUGCGGGAAGAUAUGCAUGUGCAGGGCGAAGAAGUGGACGAAGGCCGAAGAAGCAAUCUCUGCCUCCCUAUCGCUGCGUCCUGCUUCUCAAUAUGUCACCUUAGUCAUGGCCACCUUAUCCCUCAUGCUACUGAUUUGAACCUGCCCUACUCUUCUUCUCCUGGGCUGCUCGAGUGCUUCAGCGGGUGCCUUGCCGACGACAGGGAAGGAAGGACCAGAGAGCCACGAAAUUGAGGUACGCAGAAGAUGAACAAACCUGAGAAUUGAUGAUCCAAAGAAGAGUCGGAGCUCGAGCAUCACAUAGCCGUAAGCUAUGGUGGCUUGUAGGCGGAUGUGUCUCAGACCUAAGUUUUUGCCGCUGGACCGUUGUUACAUUCAUCCUAGCUUGGAGGCAAUGGUGUGGGUGGGUAUGCAUGUGCAAGGCGAAGAAGUGGACGAAGGCCGAAGAAGCAAUCUCUGCCUCCCUAUCGCUGCGUCGUGCUCCUCAAUAUGUCACCUUAGUCAUGGCCGCCUUAUCCCUCAUGCUGCUGAUUUGAACCUGCCCUAUUCUUCUCGUAGGCUGCUCAAGCGCUUCAUCGGGUGCCUCGCCAAUGACAGGGAAGGAAGGAUCAUAAGUGAUGGCUAUAGCGCCAGGAAUUUGGAAACCAUAGCAAUUGAUCUUCUUUAUAAAACGUGUGUGGCAAGGGACGUGUAACCUGCUUCAGGAAAGAAGAGAUGGAUCAUGUGAGAAAAGAGACCAGCUUUGAUCCUUUAUUGGACAGACAAUUGUUUUUUUGCCAAUUGCCUAGUCCAUAUUGUCCAUGUAUUAAAAGCAUGCAAACGUGUGGCUCCUGGAGUUUGUAUUACUCUUGGAUUUGGAUAUGUGUAAGCGCUUUGUUUUUUAUUU